AUUGAACGCUGGCGGAAUGCUUUACACAUGCAAGUUGAACGGCAGCACGGACUUCGGUCUGGUGGCGAGUGGCGAACGGGUGAGUAAUGUAUCGGAACGUGCCCAGUCGUGGGGGAUAACGUAGUGAAAAUUACGCUAAUACCGCAUACGAUCUAUGGAUGAAAGCGGGGGAUCGCAAGACCUCGCGCGAUUGGAGCGGCCGAUAUCAGAUUAGGUAGUUGGGGGGGUAAAGGCCCACCAAGCCAACGAUCUGUAGCUGGUUUGAGAGGACGACCAGCCACACUGGAACUGAGACACGGUCCAGACUCCCACGGGAGGCAGCAGUGGGGAAUUUUGGACAAUGGGCGAAAGCCUGAUCCAGCCAUUCCGCGUGCAGGAUGAAGGCCCUCGGGUUGUAAACUGCUUUUGUACAGAACGAAAAGGUUUCUACUAAUACUAGGAGCUCAUGACGGUACUGUAAGAAUAAGCACCGACUAACUACGUGCCAGCCGCCGCAGUAA
RNAcentral lists this ribosomal RNA (500 nucleotides) under uncultured bacterium. RNAcentral describes it as "partial 16S ribosomal RNA". It matches the Rfam family "Bacterial small subunit ribosomal RNA", at positions 30 to 523 of the family's 1533-position model. The record is from RNAcentral.